This 253-nucleotide ribosomal RNA is filed under the name uncultured bacterium. RNAcentral describes it as "partial 16S ribosomal RNA". It matches the Rfam family "Bacterial small subunit ribosomal RNA", at positions 524 to 776 of the family's 1533-position model. The record is from RNAcentral.
UACGGGGGGGGCAAGCGUUGUUCGGAAUUACUGGGCGUAAAGGGCUCGUAGGCGGCCAACUAAGUCAGACGUGAAAUCCCCAGGCUCAACCUGGGAACUGCGUCUGAUACUGGAUGGCUUGAAUUCGGGAGAGGGAUGCGGAAUUCCAGGUGUAGCGGUGAAAUGCGUAGAUAUUGGAAGGAACACCGGAGGCGAAAGCGGUGUACUGGGGCUGGUCUGACGCUGAGGCACGAAAGCCAGGGGAGCGAACGGG